UGCAUGGUUGUCGUCAGCUCGUGUCGUGAGAUGUUGGGUUAAGUCCCGCAACGAGCGCAACCCCUAUUGUUAGUUGCCAUCAUUCAGUUGGGCACUCUAGCGAGACUGCCGGUAAUAAACCGGAGGAAGGUGGGAUGACGUCAAUCAUCAUGCCCCUUAUGACCGUGGGCUACACACGUGCUACAAUGGUUGGUACAACGAGUUGCGAGUCGGUGACGGCGAGCUAAUCUCUUAAAGCCAAUCUCAGUUCGGAUUGUAGGCUGCAACUCGCCUACAUGAAGUCGGAAUCGCUAGUAAUCGCGGAUCAGCACGCCGCGGUCGAAUACGUUCCGGGCCUU
RNAcentral lists this ribosomal RNA (338 nucleotides) under uncultured Streptococcus sp. RNAcentral describes it as "bacterial SSU rRNA". It matches the Rfam family "Bacterial small subunit ribosomal RNA", at positions 1042 to 1382 of the family's 1533-position model. Lineage: Bacteria; Bacillati; Bacillota; Bacilli; Lactobacillales; Streptococcaceae. The record is from RNAcentral.